GCUGGGAUGGCCGAGUCGUUAAGGCGAGUGAUUUGAAUUGCUCACUAUCACUUGGUGUUUCACCGCGUAGGUUCAAAUCCUGCUUCCAGCG
Blastosporella zonata is the source of this 91-nucleotide non-coding RNA. The record is from the annotation of a GenBank genome assembly. Lineage: Eukaryota; Fungi; Basidiomycota; Agaricomycetes; Agaricales; Lyophyllaceae.